RNAcentral lists this non-coding RNA (125 nucleotides) under Aplanochytrium stocchinoi. Lineage: Eukaryota; Bigyra; Thraustochytrida; Thraustochytriidae. The record is from RNAcentral.
GCUUUCAAACAAGAGGCAAAAGAUAGCUUAAUAUUAGUUUUUAUUGUUUUAUUAAAAUUAAGACAAUAAAAUAAAAUCACACAAAAUUGCAACAUAAAACUAUUUAUGCUGUUGCAUGUUAUUAC